AUUGAACGCUGGCGGCAGGCCUAACACAUGCAAGUCGAGCGGUAGAGAGAAGCUUGCUUCUCUUGAGAGCGGCGGACGGGUGAGUAAAGCCUAGGAAUCUGCCUGGUAGUGGGGGAUAACGUUCGGAAACGGACGCUAAUACCGCAUACGUCCUACGGGAGAAAGCAGGGGACCUUCGGGCCUUGCGCUAUCAGAUGAGCCUAGGUCGGAUUAGCUAGUUGGUGAGGUAAUGGCUCACCAAGGCGACGAUCCGUAACUGGUCUGAGAGGAUGAUCAGUCACACUGGAACUGAGACACGGUCCAGACUCCUACGGGAGGCAGCAGUGGGGAAUAUUGGACAAUGGGCGAAAGCCUGAUCCAGCCAUGCCGCGUGUGUGAAGAAGGUCUUCGGAUUGUAAAGCACUUUAAGUGGGAGGAAGGGCAGUUACCUAAUACGUGAUUGUUUUGACGUUACCGACAGAAUAAGCACCGGCUAACUCU
RNAcentral lists this ribosomal RNA (480 nucleotides) under Pseudomonas sp. RNAcentral's name for it is "bacterial SSU rRNA". It matches the Rfam family "Bacterial small subunit ribosomal RNA", at positions 30 to 504 of the family's 1533-position model. Lineage: Bacteria; Pseudomonadati; Pseudomonadota; Gammaproteobacteria; Pseudomonadales; Pseudomonadaceae. The record is from RNAcentral.